GACGAACGCUGGCGGCGUGCCUAAUACAUGCAAGUAGAACGAGUGGCGGACGGGUGAGUAAUGUCUGGGAACCUGCCCGAUGGAGGGGGAUAACUACUGGAAACGGUAGCUAAUACCGCAUACCAUCGGAUGUGCCCAGAUGGGAUUAGCUAGUAGGUGGGGUAACGGCUCACCUAGGCGACGAUCCCUAGCUGGUCUGAGAGGAUGACCAGCCAACCGGGAACUGAGACAGGGCCCAGACUCCUACGGGAGGCAGCAGUGGGGAAUAUUGGAAAAGGGGGGCAAGCCUGAUGCAGCCAGGCCGCGUGUAUGAAGAAGGUUUUCGGGUUGUAAAGUACUUUCAGCGAGGAGGCGUUACUCGCAGAAGAAGCACCGGCUAACUCCGUGCCAGCAGCCGCGGUAAUU
This 405-nucleotide ribosomal RNA is filed under the name uncultured bacterium. RNAcentral's name for it is "partial 16S ribosomal RNA". It matches the Rfam family "Bacterial small subunit ribosomal RNA", at positions 28 to 525 of the family's 1533-position model. The record is from RNAcentral.